RNAcentral lists this signal recognition particle RNA (298 nucleotides) under Salvator merianae (Argentine black and white tegu). RNAcentral's name for it is "Metazoan signal recognition particle RNA (ENSSMRG00000008687.1)". It matches the Rfam family "Metazoan signal recognition particle RNA". Rfam says of the family: The signal recognition particle (SRP) is a universally conserved ribonucleoprotein. It is involved in the co-translational targeting of proteins to membranes. The record is from RNAcentral. Lineage: Eukaryota; Metazoa; Chordata; Lepidosauria; Squamata; Teiidae.
GCCGGGCGGGGUGGCUCCCGCCUGUAAUCCCAGCGUCCGGGGAGGCUGAGGCUGGAGGAUCCCUCGAGGCCGGGAGUUCGGGGCCGCCGCGGGCCGAGCCGCGCGGGCGUCCUCGCCGAGGCCGGCAUCGGCAUGGUGGCCNCCGGGGAGCCGCGAGCCACCAGGCCGCCUAAGGAGGGGCGAACCGGCCCAGGCUGGAGACAGAGCAGGCCAAAGCCCCCGUGCCGGUCAGCCGUGGGAUCGCGCCCGUGAAUCGCCCCCGCGGCCUCGCCUGGACGAGGCGGCGAGACCCAGCCUC